Molecule: ribosomal RNA, 497 nt
Filed under: uncultured bacterium
Lineage: Bacteria
Description: partial 16S ribosomal RNA
Rfam family: Bacterial small subunit ribosomal RNA
Source: RNAcentral
GAUGAACGCUGGCGGCGUGCCUAAUACAUGCAAGUCGAGCGAACGGACGAGAAGCUUGCUUUUCUGAUGUUAGCGGCGGACGGGUGAGUAACACGUGGAUAACCUACCUAUAAGACUGGGAUAACUUCGGGAAACCGGAGCUAAUACCGGACAAUAUUUUGAACCGCAUGGUUCAAAAGUGAAAGACGGUCUUGCUGUCACUUAUAGAUGGACCCGCGCUGCAUUAGCUAGUUGGUAAGGUAACGGCUUACCAAGGCAACGAUGCAUAGCCGACCUGAGAGGGUGAUCGGCCACACUGGAACUGAGCCACGGUCCAGACUCCUACGGGAGGCAGCAGUAGGGAAUCUUCCGCAAUGGGCGAAAGCCUGACCGAGCAACGCCGCGUGAGUGAUGAAGGUCUUCGGAUCGUAAAACUCUGUUAUUGGGGAAGAACAUAUGUGUAAGUAGCUGUGUACGUCUUGACGGUACCUAAUCAGAAAGCCACGGCUAACUACGUG